CCCUGCCUAUAUAAUGGGGAGUUCUGCACACUCCACACAACUCCCGUGACCGCAACCGUGGACUUCACCAUGAUUUUCUCACUCCUUCAAGGUUUCACAUUAUUAGCUGUUGCAGAGAUGUCUCCAUAUAUAAGGUUGAGACGUGACGUGGCUCCAGAAGUGUUCGGACUGCC
This 173-nucleotide unclassified non-coding RNA is filed under the name Homalodisca vitripennis (glassy-winged sharpshooter). RNAcentral describes it as "uncharacterized LOC124368520, transcript variant X1". Lineage: Eukaryota; Metazoa; Arthropoda; Insecta; Hemiptera; Cicadellidae. The record is from RNAcentral.